Callithrix jacchus (white-tufted-ear marmoset) is the source of this 136-nucleotide non-coding RNA. The record is from Rfam. Lineage: Eukaryota; Metazoa; Chordata; Mammalia; Primates; Cebidae.
GGAUCUGCGUAGUGGCAGUAUCAUAGCCAAUGAGGUUUAUCGGAGGCACGAUUAUUGCUAAUUGAAAAAGAAUGAAAUCCUAUCAUUUGUAGCAACAUGCAUGGAACUGGAAGUCUUUAGGUUACAUGAAAUAAGG